AGAAGAAGAAGAAGAAGAAGAGCGCUAUGAAGAAGCAGAAGUGGAUGGAGCCUCAGAAGAGGAAGAGGACGCUGAGGAGCCAAAGCAAAAGACCAAGGAGUUUGGAGGCAGUCUCAAGCGAGCGGGGAUUGAAUCAGAAGAGGAAUCCCCUCCAAGAAAGAUCCCAACCCACCGACGAAUGGCAGUUGUUUAUGAUAGUGAUGAGGAAUGAAUAUUUCCUGGGGUUGAUUAUGGUAUAAUUUUUUAUUUCAUCCAUUAUUGUUCAUAAUGUUUGAUACAUUUUUUUUUAUAUAUAUAUUUUUUAGGGGAGAUACUAAAUGCUUGUAUGAACCAAGAGUUGGUUUUUACUCAAGUUUGUCUCGGUGGGAGUAAUCAUUACUAGUUUUGGACAUUUUCUCCUUGUGCUUUGUUACUGUGAAUUAGCUAGUUUUUUCAUAUUGAUUAUCAUGGAAUGCCCCAUUUUGGUUGUCCAGUCUGAUUCAGUGUUUUUAAUCUCUAGGAUAUUUUUAUUGAAUUCAAGUCUUAUGAUAAUGACCAUCCAAACGGUCUAAUAUUAUGUAGUUGAGAGGUUUUUAAUGUGGUCCAAGGGUUUUAUGCAGUUUAAAACCUUGUAUGCGAAUACUCGAGUGGUUUUGAUGCUCGAAGACCGAGUUUUUAUUUGGUAUUGAUUAAGUGUAUUUUUAUUUAGUUUUGGGUAAACAGUUUUUGGAUUAGCUUUUUAUAAGUUGGGGUCAGCUCCAAUACUAAUUCAAUG
This 754-nucleotide unclassified non-coding RNA is filed under the name Hevea brasiliensis (rubber tree). Lineage: Eukaryota; Viridiplantae; Streptophyta; Magnoliopsida; Malpighiales; Euphorbiaceae. The record is from RNAcentral.